GUGAGGAAUAUUGCGCAAUGGAGGCAACUCUGACGCAGCCAUGCCGCGUGCAGGAAGAAGGCGCUACGCGUUGUAAACUGCUUUUAACCGGGAAGAAACCCCAGGACGUGUCCUGGGUUGACGGUACCGGAGGAAUAAGCACCGGCUAACUUCGUGCCAGCAGCCGCGGUAAUACGAAGGGUGCAAGCGUUAUCCGGAUUCAUUGGGUUUAAAGGGUGUGUAGGCGGAGCGUUAAGUCAGUGGUGAAAUCCUGCAGCUUAACUGUAGAGUUGCCAUGGAUACUGGCGCUCUUGAGUGCGCUUGAAGUGGGCGGAAUGUGCCGUGUAGCGGUGAAAUGCUUAGAUAUGGCACAGAACACCAAUUGCGAAGGCAGCUCACUAAGGCGAUACUGACGCUGAGGCACGAAAGCGUGGGGAUCGAACAGGAUUAGAAACCCCAGUAGUCC
This 445-nucleotide ribosomal RNA is filed under the name uncultured bacterium. RNAcentral's name for it is "partial 16S ribosomal RNA". It matches the Rfam family "Bacterial small subunit ribosomal RNA", at positions 354 to 796 of the family's 1533-position model. The record is from RNAcentral.